RNAcentral lists this ribosomal RNA (301 nucleotides) under uncultured bacterium. RNAcentral's name for it is "partial 16S ribosomal RNA". It matches the Rfam family "Bacterial small subunit ribosomal RNA", at positions 509 to 807 of the family's 1533-position model. The record is from RNAcentral.
CAGCCGCCGCGGGAAUACAGAGGGUGCGAGCGUUAAUCGGAUUUACUGGGCGUAAAGCGUGCGUAGGCGGCUUUUUAAGUCGGAUGUGAAAUCCCUGAGCUUAACUUAGGAAUUGCAUUCGAUACUGGGAAGCUAGAGUAUGGGAGAGGAUGGUAGAAUUCCAGGUGUAGCGGUGAAAUGCGUAGAGAUCUGGAGGAAUACCGAUGGCGAAGGCAGCCAUCUGGCCUAAUACUGACGCUGAGGUACGAAAGCAUGGGGAGCAAAAAGGAUUAGAUACCCCCGUAGUCCCUGUCUCUUAUAC